This 1343-nucleotide ribosomal RNA is filed under the name uncultured bacterium. Its description in RNAcentral is "16S ribosomal RNA". It matches the Rfam family "Bacterial small subunit ribosomal RNA", at positions 28 to 1378 of the family's 1533-position model. The record is from RNAcentral.
GACGAACGCUGGCGGCGUGCUUAACACAUGCAAGUCGAACGGAAAGGCCCUGCUUUUGUGGGGUGCUCGAGUGGCGAACGGGUGAGUAACACGUGAGUAACCUGCCCUUGACUUUGGGAUAACUUCAGGAAACUGGGGCUAAUACCGGAUAGGAGCUCCUGCUGCAUGGUGGGGGUUGGAAAGUUUCGGCGGUUGGGGAUGGACUCGCGGCUUAUCAGCUUGUUGGUGGGGUAGUGGCUUACCAAGGCUUUGACGGGUAGCCGGCCUGAGAGGGUGACCGGCCACAUUGGGACUGAGAUACGGCCCAGACUCCUACGGGAGGCAGCAGUGGGGAAUAUUGCACAAUGGGCGGAAGCCUGAUGCAGCAACGCCGCGUGCGGGAUGACGGCCUUCGGGUUGUAAACCGCUUUCGCCUGUGACGAAGCGUGAGUGACGGUAAUGGGUAAAGAAGCACCGGCUAACUACGUGCCAGCAGCCGCGGUGAUACGUAGGGUGCGAGCGUUGUCCGGAUUUAUUGGGCGUAAAGGGCUCGUAGGUGGUUGAUCGCGUCGGAAGUGUAAUCUUGGGGCUUAACCCUGAGCGUGCUUUCGAUACGGGUUGACUUGAGGAAGGUAGGGGAGAAUGGAAUUCCUGGUGGAGCGGUGGAAUGCGCAGAUAUCAGGAGGAACACCAGUGGCGAAGGCGGUUCUCUGGGCCUUUCCUGACGCUGAGGAGCGAAAGCGUGGGGAGCGAACAGGCUUAGAUACCCUGGUAGUCCACGCUGUAAACGGUGGGUACUAGGUGUGGGGUCCAUUCCACGGGUUCCGUGCCGUAGCUAACGCUUUAAGUACCCCGCCUGGGGAGUACGGCCGCAAGGCUAAAACUCAAAGGAAUUGACGGGGCCCCGCACAAGCGGCGGAGCAUGCGGAUUAAUUCGAUGCAACGCGUAGAACCUUACCUGGGUUUGACAUGGAUCGGGAGCGCUCAGAGAUGGGUGUGCCUCUUUUGGGGUCGGUUCACAGGUGGUGCAUGGCUGUCGUCAGCUCGUGUCGUGAGAUGUUGGGUUAAGUCCCGCAACGAGCGCAACCCUUGUUCACUGUUGCCAGCACGUUAUGGUGGGGACUCAGUGGAGACCGCCGGGGUCAACUCGGAGGAAGGUGGGGAUGACGUCAAGUCAUCAUGCCCCUUAUGUCCAGGGCUUCACGCAUGCUACAAUGGCUGGUACAGAGAGUGGCGAGCCUGUGAGGGUGAGCGAAUCUCGGAAAGCCGGUCUCAGUCCGGAUUGGGGUCUGCAACUCGACCUCAUGAAGUCGGAGUCGCUAGUAAUCGCAGAUCAGCAACGCUGCGGUGAAUACGUUCCCGGG